GAUAAGAGUCAAAGUGGAACUUUUUUCUUGGGUUUUUUCUAAUACUGGUAGUUUUACUGUACAUGUCCCCUUUUUCAAAAUCUAAUAGUUUUAAUUUAUAGUGUUUAAACAAAUCAAAAAGUGAAACAAAAUCAAUCCCAUAAAGUGACACAUAAAAUUUGAUUAUUACUGUUUAUUUUUCUUAAAGAUGCAAUUAAACUCACAUUAAUGUGUUUAUUUUUUAAAUAAAAGUUAUAUAAUCAAAGUAAGACCUUUU
Molecule: long non-coding RNA, 256 nt
Filed under: Lathyrus oleraceus (garden pea)
Lineage: Eukaryota; Viridiplantae; Streptophyta; Magnoliopsida; Fabales; Fabaceae
Description: Pisum sativum (pea) long non-coding RNA (PSAT_LNC014907)
Source: RNAcentral